Molecule: long non-coding RNA, 26904 nt
Filed under: Linum usitatissimum (flax)
Lineage: Eukaryota; Viridiplantae; Streptophyta; Magnoliopsida; Malpighiales; Linaceae
Description: long non-coding RNA (LUSI_LNC003130)
Source: RNAcentral
GGAUUGAAUUGCUGAUUAAAGAAAAUCUUUAGUCAACACGGCUUAAGAACAAGCCAAAGCACAAAACAAAUAAAAAAAAAGAAAAGAGAAAAAGGAAAAUAUGGGCCAUGUUUUACUCUCACAUUUCCAAAACCGAUCCUCUUCCAUCUCCAUUUCACAUUCUGGUUGACUGACUCUCCCCUCAACCUUCGACCUGCUCCACCUCCAUACCAAAACCCUAACCUAAGCUCAAAACUUCCAUUAAGCUUCCCUAUCCCACCCUUCUCGAUCAUCCGUCACCACGAUGGCGGCGGCUGCACAUCUAAUCUUCCCUGCUCUUGCUCUAGUCCUGUGCUUUCCGCUGGCGUUUGCGAAUUCGGAAGGAGAUGCUCUCUACACGCUCAGGAGGAGCUUGUCCGAUCCUGAUAACGUCCUCCAGAGCUGGGAUCCGACCUUAGUCAACCCUUGCACUUGGUUCCACAUCACCUGCAACCAGGAUAACCGCGUUACUCGAGUGUAAUCAUGCCGAAACUUUUUAUUUGUUUCUGCUUUUAGGUUUUUUUUUGCUGAUUCGUUGCGAUAUUUUCGUUUCCUGCUUGAUUCCUUUUGUUUCCUGCUUUAGGAGUUUGUUGCUGAUUGAAAGGGUUAGCUACUGUUUAGCUUUGUGAUUGGGAGCUUUAUUUCGGUACUUGAUUUUGUUACACUGUUCAACUCUUUCUUGCUAUGGUGUCGAUGAACAGGGGAAAAGUUUUAUUGAGCAUAUUUAGAUUAAGCUACGGCGCGUUUAUGCAAAAGGGCUCUUGUCCUUUGGGUGUUAUUUUGUUCUCUGAGAGAUUGGUAUUUAACUAGUGAGUUCUAGUGCUGCAAAUUUGGCUUAUUUUGAACUUUUAAGUACUCUUGUUUAGGUUGCUAUUCGUUAAGAAAUGGAAUCCUGCUCUAACAUGUUUACAAUUUGGCGUUUGUUGCAGGGACUUGGGGAAUUCAAAUUUGUCUGGGCAUCUAGUGUCUGAGCUUGGGAAGCUAGAGCACUUACAGUAUCUGUACGUUUCUGUCACUUUUCUUCUUCACGGUGUAGUUAUGCCGUUCAUUUCUGUUUUGAUUAACUUAUGGAAGUUUGGUUUGAACUUCUGAUUUCCUUCUAAAGCUUCGUUUGUUUAAACUUUGCUGUGUCAAUAUGUGACGUAGGGAGCUUUACAAAAACAACCUUCAUGGAACUAUCCCUACUGAGCUUGGUAACUUGAAGAAUCUGAUCAGCUUGGACUUAUACAACAACAACAUAACCGGGACUAUCCCUUCUUCGCUUGGGAAAUUGAAGAGUCUAGUCUUUUUGUAAGUUCAGGCAAUCCCUUCUUUCUAAAUAUGUUUGGUUCUUUCAUUACUUGCAUUGACUCCUGAUGAGGUGUAUAAUUUCGUAACAUUCUUAAAACUCAGUAGAGUCUUGUUUGGAUUGAUCAAUUAUUAGCACGUCUUGCAAAUUCAUCUGUACUUCCAUAGUUUAACUUUUUGAGCCUCAGUCUUCCAUAUUUGCUCUUACGACUGUUUAAUAUGGCAGGCGUCUUAAUGACAACCGACUAACUGGAUCAAUUCCAAGAGAGCUUGUUGGUGUUUCUAGUCUCAAAGUAGUGUAAGUAANNNNNNNNNNNNNNNNNNNNNNNNNNNNNNNNNNNNNNNNNNNNNNNNNNNNNNNNNNNNNNNNNNNNNNNNNNNNNNNNNNNNNNNNNNNNNNNNNNNNNNNNNNNNNNNNNNNNNNNNNNNNNNNNNNNNNNNNNNNNNNNNNNNNNNNNNNNNNNNNNNNNNNNNNNNNNUCUUCUCUCUAAUAUAUCUUCUAUGAGCAUUCCGAGUGCUUUAUUUCAGCUUUAUUACUUUUAACACCACGAUUUCCGAUUUUGUUUCUUGUGCAAAUGCCUUUCAAAAGGUUGUUUCUUAUUUCUUGCAUAUACAUAUUUCAAAGUUUGUUUCCAUGUUUUAAGACUGCAAGGUUUUUCAUCGAGGUUGCUAGAUUCACUUGUUUCAUCAAAUUGAUUAUGAAAGUCUUGUGCAUUUGCAAUGUCAGUAGAAGAUUAUUAUUCUGAUGGGAAAGAUCUUCUCUGGAAUUUCCUAAAAUUGAAGGAAUUAGGAGCACAGUUUUCAGCUUGAGAAGUAAUAUUUGGCAUACUUAACUUGGGAAGUACGUAUCAUAGAUGAAGCGGUCUAGUUUCUUCUGCAACACUUUUGCUGUUUGACUUGUUGUAUCAAGUUUGAAAACAUUAAAUAAAAAUAAAACUCAUGCAUAGUUCUUUCCCGAAAUUAAAUUUUUGUUUUGGAAAUCAGCAAGUGUGGAACUGGUGAGAAUGUGGGCUACCUUCAUAUUCAAGAUAGAAGAAAAAUAAUAAAUCUGAUUCCCGAUCACUCUUUUGGAAGCUUAGAAGUCGUCAAGUGUUUGUAUGGAAGCUGGUGGCUAGCUUUGAUAAAUUACUCUUGAUCUUUUGAUAUCUUAGUAUCAAUACGCAACAUGUUUUCACCUUAUCUGGAGAGAUUGAGCGGCUUUUUAGGAAUCUUCAAAAUAUCAUCAUGCUUGUCUUGAUAACUUAAGCUUGUUACUGCAUACGAGUCAUAUCGAUAAGUAAUCCGGCUCUUAUCUUCUUCGCUGUCAAAAAGCUUUUGCUGCAUCUAAUUGUUUAGUGCAGAUACAAUUGAAUUCCUGAUGAUUCUUUCUGUAUGCAGCUUUGAGCAUAACCCUAGGCUAGAAGGCCCCGAGUUGCUGGGACUUGCAAGUUACGACACAACUUGUUCGUAAAAAAGGACGAUCAAACCCUAGUGAUGAAAUCGUCAAGACCGGAGUGGAACAAGCUAGCCUACAUCUAAAACCUUCAUUAUCUAAGUGGACCAGGGAGUGUUAAAUGCAGUCCCCCUCAUAUUUGUACAUCUUUUUAUCUCUGCUGCUUAAUGCCCUUUUAACCGUAGUAACUGCAUUGCUAUGCUCCCCCUAUAUAUAUGAGAUUCGUGUCGAGUUUGUGUGUGUGGUUACAUUUGAUGUAAUGUAAUAUCUGGUGCAAAUUUAUCAUACCUGUUGCUAUUAGUUUCCUGCUAUGUCACACUUGUUUGAAACGUAUAAUGUUCAUCAAACCUGCAGUUAUAUGGACCUUCGUUAUUAGUGGAAAUUUUGCCGGGGAGAUGCACAAAUGUACAGUGAUUGACCUGUAUAAGCUUAAAAAUACUUGACAGUAUAUGAAAAUUAUAUUAUUUUUGUACAUUACAUAUUAUACAGUGCCCUGAUCCAAAAAUACAAAUUAGUAUGUGGGCAUGCUCUAUACUCGGUUUCAUCAAAACCUGCAAAUGACAAAUCUGAAUCACAGGUAGCAGAUCUCUGAGCAUCUUUAAUUAAUGCUUGAUUCUUCCAAUCUUUCACUUUUGUGACUUUAGUAAGUAGUGAUGCAUACCAGAAAAAUAACAAGGUAGGAAGAAAAUGGUUCGAUGUUUUGGAUUAGUGAAUCGGCCAUGAUAAUUAAAUGAUAUGUUUAAGCUUGGUUUGGCAGGUAGAAUGCUAGAUGCACUUAUAUUACCGUAAUAAAAUGAAAUUAUUUAGUCAUCAACUAAUUUUUUUGCCUGACCAGAAAAAUGUUUGAAAUUUCAUCUAACGUUUCAUUUACCAAAUCAAUCCUAUUUUAAUUUAUAAAAUCUAAAGCUCAAUUCUUUUCUUCACAAAAAAUCACACCAAUUUCUAUAACAAAUUCACCAAGCCGAGAUUCGAGCUACUGUUCCUACAACCACUUAGAUAAAUCUCAUCUCUAGAAGGUAGGAAUUAAUUGAUGAAGAAAGAAUAAAGAGUGACCAAAAAAUUGUAAACUUAUUAACUAUUUUCAUACUUAACAAAGCAAUUCUCAAUUAUACAUAAUAUUUAUCGACUUUUUAAUCUCAAAAUAACCAAAUUAUUUCCGUUAGACCGGGAUCUUUUAAUAAAUAACAACCAUCCAUGGAAAAGAAGAUAUAAAAGAGCCGGCUCAAUAAGAAAAGCUUCAGCGUAUUUAUGCGCAUCCCGCGCCAGGAUCGUACUUCUUUCCCAAAAAAAAUAUCAAUGUAAUUAUCACGACUUUGUGGUCAACGUUCACAGGGGAUUAGUUGAAUUUGGACUAACACUUUACUUUUAUUUAUCAAAAAAACUUUACCUUUACUUUUUAACCAGCUAAAGGCGUCCGCAUAUUUCCUUGGACACGUUUUGGAGAAGAAACACAAUUCUAUAUAUUUCCAAAGCCACAGUUCGAAAACGUGAUAAAUUUUUCCAAACGCUACCACGAGAUAAAUUUUAUAAUUGUUGGCCGUCAAUUCAAAUAAAAUUGAUGAUGCUAUUACACAUUUUAGCCUCCUUGUUAUGCCAAAUUAACCAACAAUUUCUCCCACAAAUUUGAUCGAGCUAAGUCCCUCCAUUCUAUAUUUUUUAACAAACAAACUCACUCGUUAGUUUUUGUAUCUAUUUACCCUUUAACUUGCUAACACAACAAAACCUAAUCAACCAUUUUAUUUACAUUGCGGAUGACUGUAAUAUUCAUUUAGAUAAAAGAUAAUAAAUACAACAAAAGAAUAUUUGUAUUCAUCUAUGAGUUAUAUUUUUAUUUAAGUUGAUAUUUCUAUCAUCCAUCGUGUAAUCAAAAUGAAUAAUUAGAGAUGUCAGGCUGUCAGCCAGAUUAACUAUGGAUGGAUGGAAAAACUAACCGAUGAUCUUGUUUGUUAAGAGGUGCAAAAUAGACGACGAGUUUAACAGUAAGAAGGGUUGUUUGUAAACUUUACAAAAUAAAAGCGCCAAAAUGAUUAUUAACCCUAAAGAGAAGGGGCGAUUAUACAACAUUCCCUUGGAUGAAAACCUAGCUAUGUGGGUGCCAAAUAUUUCAAAGGGUAUUGAUGUUUUUGUACUGAUUAUGUAACAAAGUCAAAGUCAUCAAUUAGCCAGGACGAUGGUGACAAUUAUUUUUAUCAAGUUGUUAGGAGAGGAAUCGAAAAUUUAUAUUGGUAGUUAUAUUAAUUAUGUAUGAAAAAGUUUUAGAUAUUGAUCAUGUCCAUAUUAUAUGCGUGUGAUUUUGUAAAAUCUGGUUCGAUUAGUUGUGGUCCAAACCACAAGUUAAAUCUUUCAAAUUAUUUAUUAACAUGCUCCCUUCAACAUAAAUUAUAAGAAAAGUUGAGGUUUGCAUAGUUUCAAGACUUUGAUAAGUUAUGUGCAUAGAUGAGAGCUAUUAGGAUUCGAAACGGAGACCUAUUAAUCUUUGAAGGCUCUGCUAUUAUUUCAUAAACCGUUGCAUUCUAAUAACUUAAGUUGAAAGAAAAGGAAUAUUCAUAUUGAUAUUUGUAUUAUUCAUUAGUGUCAUAGAUUGAUGAACAAAAAUCCUCUUUUUGGAACGAGCGGGGCAGUGGCCGGAGAGAGAAGUGACUAGUAGGGGUGGUCCACCCUCGGUUAUUUGUGUUUAAUUCUUUACAAAUAGUUAUAUUUUUUUUAUAUUUUUAAUUUUGAUUUAGUAAUAGUAUUUUGAAAAUAUUUACAUUGGCCUAAAUCCGUCCUUUUGAUGGACUAUUAUUAUCUUCCAUGUCUUUAGAUAUAACCUGUUUGGUGGUAAAUUUUUAUUAAAGUUAAUUAAAUUUAAUUUAUCAUAUCGAUCAUAUACUAAAUUUAAACUUCGAUACGAACGUUGGUCAAAUAUCUUUAACAGGAAGGUUGUAACAUUUAUAACUAGUCACAAGACUUGAAAAACACAGACCUACUGAUCAUAAACAAAAUAUUGAGUACUGAUUUAGAAUAAAAAAAGAGAAACACGAAGGAUAAAGUACUGGGUAGGAAUAGGAUAACCCGAAACAUGAACCAAAGAAUGAAAUUCUUUUCCCUCCAGCGGCUUACACUCAAAAGAAGAAGAAAAGUGAUGAAUUUGCUAGUGCUGUGAAAUUGCUGUAAUGUUCCACUUGUCGGAUACCCUUUUUCACAAUUUUAAUAUUUAAUCCCACAAUUAUUAUGUAUAUAAAUAUUUCCCCCUAAUUAAAUAUUCUUUUAUCAAUGUUUUAAUAAGAAUAUAAAUAGGUGGGUCUUCAAAAUCUAUCUCAUAUAUGUGCACUCCUCACCAAACCCAUCUCUAAUCAUUACAUUUUUUAGGAGAUUUUGAUGUUGAAUUUAUGGUAUCGUUUUAAUUGUAAAAAAAAUGGAUGAAAUUUUAAGUAAUUUUUGAUUGAAUAACAAAAUUAGAUUUUAUUAAAAAAUUAAUUUUUCCAUUACUAUAUAUAAAUUCAAUCCAACUUAAUUUACACGUGUCAAACUAAACUUUAAAUUGGUAAUCCAAAUAAAAUAUUAAUCUAUGUAACCUCGCAACCAUGAUCCAUAGGCUAACACGUCCUCGCUAGGUAAUGUCGAGUGGUCUUUAAUAUACUUAAUUCUAUUUAAGUGUGAAAGUUCGUUAAUUUAUAAAGCAUAUGGCGAACUCGUUUACACAUUUUUUUUACCAUUUUCAUUUUCUACCCCAAAUCUCUCAUUCUAUUUGGAAUUCAUCCAUACAUUCUUUUUUUACUGGAACUUAACGUAUCGAUGGUGCCGUUCUGAGCUUGUUGAUAUAAGCGGUGCAAUUGGCUUUGUGGAUGUGCAAGUUUUGUCGAAAAUGUAAUACAUGCGACAGGUUGUUCUUCUUAUCCAAGUAUCUAACUACGAUUCAUUCACUAUUAAACACAGCGUGUAUCUUAUAUAUGUUUACGAUAACAUUUUUGCAGAUAGAUAUAGAAAGGCGAUGUUGAGUUCAUCUUCACUCGAAUCCGUUCGGUUCGGUCUUUCUGUCUUUGAUGUGGCAUCAUUGUACAUGAGAUUCCCGGUUCGAGAUGCCCAUUUUGAAACAAAAAUCGACUAUUAUACAUAUCUCCCAACGAUGAGAAUUGCUUUUACUCACGCUUCUGCCCAUCUUCAUUCACAACACUGCAAAAAUCAUUCCCACGUUUGCUUAGACAAAUAGAAAGAAAAGCAAAAGGAGAAUCCCACCACAACCUCUCUAAUAGUUACAUCCAUUCUCAAACCAUAUAGAAUUAACAAAAAGUAGGAUAAAAAACCCAAUAGGUCACUUAAUUUUGGGAUCAGAUUAUUUAUCGCUCUCGAAACUUUCAAAUAUUACAUACUGAUCUCGAAAUUUUAUAAAGUUGAGAUCACCCUGAGUAACCUUUGAAAGUUUCGAAACUAAUACGUAACACGUCCCAAAAUUACGGGACGAAUUGGGUAUUUCACCAAAUUGCCAACAACUUUACUUGGCCACCUCACUAGCUCACUCUAUAUAAAUAGCACCUCAAAUAUGUUUGUAUCUUAACACUUGAAACACCUUUAAACUCUUCCCACUACAUUUCCAAACUCCCAUCUUUCAUCACCCGCCGACAGGGGGCGACCGGAACAUAAUCAACGGCGAAAAUGGGCCGGCGGGUUCAUGUGUUGAUGAUGGUAAUGUGUCUUGCCGCCGUCCAAAGUUGCUGGGGCAAGACUAGGCAUUUCAAGUGGGACGUGGAGUACAUGUUCUGGUCGCCGGACGGCCAGGAGCAUACCGUCAUGGGUAUCAACGGCCAGUUUCCGGGGCCGACGAUCAGGGCCAAGGCCGGCGACAUAAUCCACGUGGACCUCACCAACAAGCUACAUACUGAGGGAGUUGUUAUUCACUGGCAUGGUAUCAGACAGGUUGGUAAAUUUUAUAAGUUAAUUAUGUUUACUGAAUUGAUUAAUAAUUUAUUUAUUCAUGUAUUUUUGCAGCAAGGGACUCCAUGGGCUGAUGGAACAGCUGCAAUCUCACAGUGUGCCAUUGCUCCUGGUGAAACUUUCCCUUACAGGUUCACUGUUGACAAGGUAUGACUUUACUUAUUUCUUGAUCCUUUUAAUUUUGAGGUGUAAAAAAGUUGUCUAGACCGGACCCAGUCUAAUCCAUUUCAAGGGCCGACUCAAUCUGAUUCGAUAUCUAAAUUUAAAUUGUUGUUCGUCAAAUUCAAAAAUAAAUGAUCAAUUUGAUUGAUCAAGGAUUCGUAAUUCGAUUGACCCAGUUCGUAACCUAUCAAAUACAUCUGUUUGACAGCUCUACGUUUUUUAUUUAUAAAAAAGUAGAAGCAAAAAGUGUAUACAAUUUUGAAAUUCAUUUUGGUGAUCGAGAUGGUAAACAAUAGAUGAUCUUUUAUUCAACCUCUCCUUAGAGCAAACUAUUUCAUAUAGGGUCACUGAUCAGACUAUUCGUGAUAAGUGAAAAGAUUAUGUUAGGUUGUGAACACACAUUUUGUUCAUUACUAAUGAUAAAUCUUGUAAUGUGUUUUAGGCGGGUACAUAUUUCUACCAUGGGCAUUACGGGAUGCAAAGAUCAGCGGGGCUAUACGGUUCACUCAUAGUUGAAGCAGGAGACAAAGUUGGAGAGAAAGAUCCAUUCCACUAUGACAGCGAGUUCAACCUCCUGCUCAGCGACUGGUGGCACAAAAGUGUCCACGAACAAGAAGUUGGCCUCUCUUCCCUCCCCUUCCGCUGGAUCAACGAACCCAACGUACGGUAACAGUACUAUCGACAAUUACCCAUUUCGUAUCGAACCAACAACUCAACUAGACAAAGCCUUACACAUGGUUCUAUAUAUGGCCAACGGCUAUGUCCCCUAUGGGGCAGAUUAAAGACACUAGUCCAACCCAUUCUCUCUAAUGGAUUCAAAUAUCAAAAGUAAGUAAUUAAUUAAAUACUAAUGUAAAGUACCGACCCAUGUGGAAAUGUUUGGUUUCUUUCAAAGAUUACUAUGUUACACUAAUCAGGUAGUUGGCAGAAUCUUAUCUUCGAUGUCUUUUGAUUUUACAGAGACAUAAAUCCAAAACAGUCCACACCAGAACCAGCAAUUUCUAUUAAUAUAUUGAUUCAACUUUAGUUAAAAAUUCCUUCAGAUUUUCCCAUUCUCCAAUCAAAGGACUGACAACAUCUUGUUUCUAAAAAUGACUGUUUGGUUUUUUUUUGCAGACUUUGUUAAUUAACGGGAGAGGCCAGUACAACUGUUCACUGGCAGCAAAGUAUAACAAGACAUCAGCAUCAUUACCACAGUGUAAGCUAAGAGGGACUGAGCAAUGGGCACCAAAUGUGCUCAAAGUGCUACCAAACAAGACUUACAGGCUCAGAAUUGCCAGCACCACUGCCUUGGCUUCUCUCAACUUAGCCAUUGGAGUAAGUCUCCUACCAAUAUUGCUUUUGCGUGCGUGCGUACGUAGUUCUGCUAGCUUUUGCAUACCUAUACUCUUUUAGUGAUGAUAGCUAAGGAUAAUUUUCGAGUUAGAAUUAGAGGUAGAGUUGUAAAACAUGCGAGUAGAGUCACUGGUGAAAUGGUUGUGGGUAUAUAUCAAUUAGGUUGUGGGUUUUUGAGUUAUUUGGAUUGAGCGAGUCAUGGAUUGUUGAUUUUUAAUCGGUUUGAAUGGGGCUAAAACUGAGUUGAAUCAAACAUUCGUUUCCUCACAAAGACACUAAAAUUCAAAAUUCAAACUAUUGUAAUAUCAAACCUUUGAGUCCCAUGUUUGAUUUUGUUGUUUGGUUUUGGGUUGUGGGAAACAAGUUACAAAUCAGAUUGAAUCACAUAUUAAUUAGAUUAUUAUUGGGUUUUUGAGUUAUUUGGAUUGGACGAGUGACAAAUUGUUGAUUUUUAAUUAAUCUGAAUCGAAUUUAGAAUUAAAUUACGUUGAAUAAGAUAUUUUUCUCACAAUUAUAUAUAAAACACUAAAAUUCGAAAUUCAAACUACUAUAAUAUCAGAAUAUUUGAGUUCCAUCUUAAUUUUCUUAGAUUCUUGGGUUGAGGUCAAACUUUUAACCAUUGUAGGGUUCUACUUUUUGAUACACUUUUUUCUCUAAAUUUGACCAAUCAUAGUUAUAGUUAUAGUUGAUAAUAACUUUUUAUUUUUUAAAAGUUGGGAAGGUUGGCAAGUGAUUUUGAAAUUUCUGCAAAUAUAAAAAAGGAAGGAGGUAGAAAGCAUGGAAAAUUCUUCCACUAAAGGUGGUAGAAAAGGAGAAAACGUGUUGGCUUCAUGAUCAUCAUUCAUUCAUCUUUUUCUUUCAACAAAAAUCCCAAUUGUUUUACAAAGGUUUUCAAAAUCUCAAAAACCUAACCAAGAAAAUUGUGUUGUGAUCAUUAAUGACGGAAACCUUAUCAAUUAGUUACUAAACAAACCCAUAAUUCGAUUGACUUUGUAAUAAAUUAUGGUAUGUCGUAACCAGAUCAAUCCGUAUGUUCACCGAUUUAGUAUAGACAGUAUAGUAGUCUAAAGGGGCAAUGCAUGAUGAACGUUUUUUGAAACCUUUCUUUCCUUCUCUUGUGUGAAGAAUGCAUGAUGAUGUAUUAUGUUGCCAAUUGCUAUGGCGGAUAUAGUGAGCCUCCUCUAGUGUAGAUUCAGUCCAUUUUCGGAUUUUGAAAUUUAAUAUACUAAAUUAGUUGGCAUUUUUUUCUAUAUAUGACUGAAUGUAUUUAAACUUUUAUACAAUGCACUGAACAAUUAUAAAUCCGCUGAUGUACCUACACAACUUGGUUGGAAUCCAUAUAAGGAACCAAGUUAUCCCCAUUGAUGCUCACUCUAUUUCCAUGCAAAUGGAAAAGACAAGUAUCUAUUAUUAUGUGCCACACUCCUCUCAACCAUGUGAUCCCCACACGGUAAUCUUACUACUUGCCUUCAAUUAUUUAGUUAAAAGCAUAGUUAGAAGAAUGGAAUCUCAUUCCUUAUACACCUCCAAAUGAGUGAAGAGACACAUUUACAUCAUAUUCAUCCCAAUUGAAUUGAUUGGGUAAAGGCAUGUGUCCAACCAUCAUUGGUUUGGACUCUAUGUAACGACCAACCUACAACUUUGAGAUUAUUUACUCUCGUUGAGAUUUCUAAUUCAUUCAUCAGAGAUAUCUAUUGUGUUCCUAAAAUAAAAUAUGAUGAAGUACGUACGUUGUUUAUGUUAGCCAACUUUCAUCUACACUAAUAUAUUAUUCUCCCUCUUCUAAGAUCUUAUUUUGUCGUCAAAUAAUGUAAUACUAAAUUCAAUAGAAUAACAUGUAACCCGUAUUCCUUUUGAAUUACUUUCAAAAACUCUUCUUUUCAUUUCAUGCAUUUGAUCUUGUAUUUCAUACCACGUCUCAGUUUUACAAAAAUUAUCGAUGUGAUUUCACCGACUUAAAAGUGUGGUAUUUAAAUUUAAUAUUCUCUUGGUUUUUCAAAUAUUCAAUCAAUUACAAAUUCAGUUUUACAAAUCAAACCACUAACCGUACAUAUUUGUAGUUACCAGUAAUCAAUUCGUAGUCAUCUUUAUCAACUUUUGAAUCAUGCUUAGUGUGUUACUAAUGUAACUUUGUUCAAAAAACAGGGCCACAAGAUGGUGGUGGUGGAAGCCGACGGGAACCACGUCCAACCAUUUUCGACGGACGAUAUCGACAUCUACUCCGGCGAGAGUUACUCGGUCCUCUUCACAACGAACCAAAACCCGUCAAACAACUACUGGAUCUCCGUUGGAGUCCGCGGCCGCCGCCCUCAAACCCCACAAGCAUUAGUCCUCCUCAACUACCUCCCAAACUCCGCCUCCAAAUUCCCAACCUCACCUCCUCCGAUCACUCCCCGGUGGGACGAUUACGCCCACUCCAAAUCCUUCACAACCAAAAUCCUCGCCCUAAUGGGCUCCCCAAAGCCCACUCCCAAAGCUCACCGCCGGAUCCAACUCCUCAAUACCCAAAACCGGCUCAACGGGUUCACUAAAUGGGCCAUCAAUAAUGUCUCGUUGAUUCUUCCGUCAACGCCGUACAUCGGGUCCAUGAAACACAAUCUCAAAUCGGCGUUCGACCAGACCCCACCGCCGGAUAACUUCAAUCAAAACUACGACGUUUCGUCCCCACCGGUGAACGCCAACACCACGACGGGGAACGGCGUGUACGUGAUCGACUUUGGGACGACGGUGGAUGUAAUCUUGCAGAACGCGAAUGCUCUGUCGGCGAAUGUGAGCGAGAUCCAUCCUUGGCAUUUGCACGGGCAUGAUUUCUGGGUUUUGGGUUACGGAGAUGGGAAAUUUGGCGACGGAAAGGGGAAAAAGUUGAAUUUGAAGAAUCCGCCGUUGAGGAACACGGCGGUGAUUUUUCCUUACGGGUGGACGGCGUUGAGGUUUGUGGCGGAUAAUCCUGGGGUUUGGGCUUUCCAUUGUCAUAUUGAGCCGCAUUUGCAUAUGGGGAUGGGGGUUGUUUUUGCAGAGGGUGUUGAUCGGAUUGGGGAUGUGCCUAAGGAAGCGCUUGCCUGUGGAUUGACUGCUACUAGGUUAUAAUCGCGGCGGCGACGGCGGCGGAAAUUGAUGUGUCGUCGGAGGGUUUGUUUUUUUGUGUAGCUUUUAUGAUUAUUUAUUAUCAUCGUAUUGUAAAAGUGGGUUGAUUCGGAAAGGUGAGUGCGAGGGGAAGGCUGGUGUGUGAGUGGGGUGUGAAAGUGGUUCGAUUUUUCCUUCAAACCGGAAUCAUGGUUUGGCUUUCAAUGAAACGUUUUUAUUAAUAAUGUGUUACUUCGUUUAUUUGCUUGAUUUGAUUGAGGUUUGAUGUUCGAUUUAGUUUGAUAUUAACGAAAUAUGUUGGAAGGAGUUGGAAGGCAUUAUAUCAAUGGUGUAUUAUACGUAUUCAUAAGAAUUUUAUAAUUGAACCAUACCUUAACUUUGUUAUCUCAAUGAGUAGCCAAAAUUCAGGUAACAAAUAUAACAUUAAGUCUAAAAAACAAUAAGUGUUUUGCAAAACAAGUGACCAUUAACACCGUCAACCAUAUAAUCUUUAAAGAUGUAAAUAAAAAAUGUACAUAUCUAAAUUCCUGCUUUCCUGCUUUUUAAAUGUUCGCUUGAAAAAAGUGAUCCGUUAAAAGUCUACUACCAACGUUUCUCGAUAUUUGGCCAUUGAGUUCCUGAUUGGUAUCAACGUUACCAUUAUGUUCUUGUGUUUAAUUGGGAGAUGGAUGGUUCCGCCACAAAGACUUUUUAUGGUUAAAUUUUGACAUCAUACAAAAUAUAAUUUACCUUCAAAAUCAUCUCAUUCUUUCACUUCCAAUAAUCCAGUAGCAAAAAACAAUCAAUGUUCCUGAUCUUGAUUAAAUUUCACCUUAAAUUUCACGAACUAGUUUUGAACCUCUUUUGAAAAGAAAAGAGGAGGAUAGAGCAUACUAAACUUCCACAGUUUUCUCUUCGAAACGAACACAUUUUUCAUUUUCAAAUUACAACACAGGUGCCAUUAAUACUUAUUUUUAUCAUUUACAUCGACUGAAAUGUACCACUCAAUUACCCAUUAGUAUUGGACGAAAAAUAUUGACAGAAUUAAACGAACUCAUACUUUUCAAAUGUCCUCAUACAUUUAUCACUGGAGUGACGUUUUUGAAAGUUCUACUGCCGGGACAUUCAGGCCAAACGUUUACUACACCAAACGUCAAAUUUUCAUAGUGUAGAGCCUUGUUUGUUAAGUGUGCAUAGUUCAUGGGCUGAGAAGUUUAUCAACCCAAUUAGCGAAAAUAAGCCCGGUGGCCGGUCGGGAGUCUCAUUUACUUACCGUAGGGCAAGCCUUUAGACUGCGCGGAUGGCGGCGGUGCUGGUAACCUGACACGAUAACUGGUAAGCAUUCAGUCUUGCGGCAGUUUGCUUGUCUCAGGCGAAGCAGAUCUCCUUGCAUCAGGUGAUUGGCAGCUUUCUACUCUAUAGUAAAAACUUCCUUAACGCUGGUAGCUUCUUUACUUUUUAAUUAUGGAUGAAAGCAUUCAACUUUGAUGUGGAAAAUCUAUUAGCCUUCUGAAUUUCAAUUGUGUGUAGUCAGAAUUUGCAAAAACAUGUACAUUAUCUCAUUGCUGGCAAUUGGGGUUUUUGCUGGUAGACUGAUUCUAGUUCUUGGUGGAGGGUUUUCAACUGCAGGAUUGUUAGCAUACAUUGUAAUGGAGAAGAGGGAGGGUAAACAAGAGGAGGUGGAGGAAGAGCAGGUGGUGAAUCCAUGGGAAGUUUCGGCCAAAGAUGGAGGGAAGAUCGAUUACGAUAAGCUUAUCGACAAAUUCGGAUGCCAAAGGCUUGAACUUCCAAUAGUUGACCGUGUCCAACGACUGACUGGUAGAGCGCCUCAUGUCUUCCUCCGCCGUGGUGUUUUCUUUGCCCACAGGGAUUUUGAUGAGAUACUGAAUGCAUAUGAGAAAGGGAAAAAGUUCUACCUUUAUACUGGUAGAGGUCCAUCCUCUGAAGCUUUGCAUCUCGGUCAUCUUGUGCCCUUCAUGUUUACCAAGUGAGCUCUCAUCUUGAUUGUUGGCAUUAGUUUUGAAUACUUGUUUGCUAAGAGCAAAAUGAUUCUGGCUGGUCAGCUGGAUUCCAUUUGAUCUAUUAUCCUCAUACUUGCAGAUAUUUGCAAGAUGCCUUCAAGGUGCCACUUGUGAUACAACUUACUGAUGAUGAGAAGUGCAUGUGGAAGAAUCUUACAGUGGAGGAGAGCCAGAGACUUGCCCGUGAAAAUGCGAAAGACAUUAUUGCUUGCGGUUUCGAUGUCACCAGGACAUUCAUCUUUUCAGAUUUUGAUUACGUUGGCGGGUAAGUAACAGGAAUUGACAAUGAGAUUUGGAUAAAAUAACCGUAUAGGUUAGUUAGCACUCCAAUCAAACGUACCUAGCUGUGUUUAGGUUCAUGAACUUCACAUUUUAACUGUACCAAAAUGUUGUUUAGUCUUUGCUCAAGGGUUACUCAAAGAAAUGCAAAUUGCAGUAAGAAGCAACUCUUCUGGAUCACUUGGAUGAUAGAUUUUUUGUGUGCUCUUGUGUUGCUUUGUUGUAGUUGUGAUCUUUUGCAUAUAUUACUGUAUUUGACAUGCAUUGAAUCUUUCCAGUGCAUUUUACAAGAACAUGGUGAGGAUUGGGAAGUGUGUCACAUACAAUAAGGUUAAGUUUGCUGAGCUAUUUCUAUUUUUUGUUUUGCAUUUCUAGUGUUGUUUUUCAUUUGCAGGUCAUUCAAAAAUUGUCAAUGGUAUACAGGUCGUGGGCAUAUUCGGUUUCAGCGGUGAAGAUCACAUCGGAAAAGUUAGUUUUCCACCAGUCCAGGUGAGUUAUUUAUCACUGUGUACCAACAUCUUGGCAUGCAUUGCAAUUGGGAUCCAAUUUCUCAGACACAUGUGCUCUAGUUGCGUCCUUUCUUUCUAUUAUUUAGUAGCUGGUGGAUUUUUCCAAGUUUAGAUGUUAGUUGGCGUAGGACUAAAUGCUUUCUUGCGAUCAGAAGCAACAUUAUGAGACGUGCUUACUGUAGUUACAUAACAAAGGUUUGGAAACUAGAAAGGGAAUCCAGGUUUUUCCAUUGGCAGUGUGCUUCCUGGAGAUGUGGAUUAUUAGAGUUCUUGCAGCCAGAAUCUUGCCUAGUGGUUGUGCAGCACAAACAAUUGCACAGUCGUAGAACCUUUUUUCACAACUUACCUAAGCAUCAUAUUAAUGGAACUCUACAGAACUUCCACUUACUCUUAUUCGUUGCAUAAUAGUUAAAGUAGAGGGAGGAAGAGAUUUAACGUACUUCACUUUUCUGUAGUGCAGGCAGCACCAUCUUUUCCUAGUUCAUUUCCACACUUGUUCUCCGGAAAAGACGACCUCCGUUGCUUGAUUCCUUGUGCAAUUGAUCAGGUCGGACCCUCCUAAAUGUACAUGUUUGAAUUGAAUUUUCGUCUUUGAAAAUGAAUACUGUUAGUGAUUUUAAAUGUUCACCCAUCUUUUAUACCUGCCUGUUUGCAGGAUCCAUACUUCAGAAUGACACGAGAUGUUGCACCCAGGCUAGGAUAUCAUAAACCUUCACUGAUUGAGUCAUUGUUCUUCCCGGCCCUUCAGGUAUCUGGCUAUAUUCUCUCGUAGAAUUUCUCAUAUUCUGGUCAGAAAAGAAACCUGCACCAGCUUUCUAUUCAAUUGAUUGGUGAAGAGUUAGACUGGUCCGACCUGGGAUGGUGGUUAUCUUACCACUAUGUCUUAUCACACUUAUGUAUGUAAUAUGCAUAUUACUGUUUCAAUAUGACUGCUGAUUUCAAAUUUUGAUGCUAUUGAACUUUCUAGUACAAUUACCAUGAAGUAUUUGUUGUGACUUCAAUCUGUUCAUUUCAUUUUAGUGAAAUGGCCCAAAUAGAAAGCCACCAGACAUACAAAUAUGAUUAUACUUCAGCCAGUUACUCUCUGAUUGCUACUAACUAAUCCACGCUGUGUAUUAUUAAUUUUUGUAGGGAGAAACUGGAAAAAUGUCUGCCAGUGAUCCGAAUUCUGCUAUAUAUGUGACUGAUUCUGCCAAGGUCAUUAAGAACAAGGUAUGAUCUUGUAUUGUGCUUAUGAUUCCUUCCUUUUACGUAUGUUAUUCAACCUGUCAUGGCAUAUAAGCUAAUUGUCAAUGUACUGUCUCGAUGGUAACAGAUAAAUAAGUAUGCGUUCUCUGGGGGACAAGAUUCCGUAGAGAAGCACAGAGAACUUGGGGCCAAUCUCGAGGUAGAUUACUCCAAAACCCAAAUGGGAAAAUCAAACUAAGUUUGCUCAAUAACAAUCUUACUUAAUACUUCUUCCUUGCUUAUUAAUUUUCAGGUAGAUAUACCAGUGAAGUACCUAAGCUUCUUCCUGGAGGACGAUGCUGAGCUCGAGCACAUUAAGACGGUUAGUCCACUAAACCUUUCGCGUCAAUUUUAGCAAUUUCACCCUUUCUCUUACUGAAAGCCUUUGUUUCAGGAAUAUGGCGCUGGGCGAAUGUUGACCGGGGAGGUAAAGAAACGUCUUGCUGAUGUUUUGACAGAACUGGUAGAUCGACAUCGUGCAGCUCGAGCUGCUGUGACAGAAGAAGUAAGCAAGCUUCUAAAUUGUUUUCAAAUUCUGUUGCUUUGCUGCAAAAAGGAUGUUGGUUAAUCCCUUGUUUCGGUUUUGGACAUGAAAUUCUGUAAUUGCAGAUGGUGGAUGCUUUCAUGGCAGUGAGACCACUUCCUAAUAUGUUUGACUGAAAAGCUAGGAAGGUAAACUCUCUGAUAUGGAGUCAAACACAGGAAAGGCUGUUUAGUUUGUAAGUUAAUGUAGCAACUCUUCAUUAGAACACCAAAGUUUGAUUCUUUUGAACUCCUUUGAAAGAUUGUUGAGAUUCAAUGCAUGAGACAGUGUAUUUGUGGAAGCUUCGUACUUUGAUCAUUCUCAAGUGAGAGUUGGUUGGUUUGGAUAAGGCAUUGUGUUAAAUUCAACCAAUUCGUAGUUUAGGUUUGGUUUGGCCUGUGGAUAGUUUGGAAAUUUGUAGGUGGCAACAAGAAAGUUCGUUCUUCAAACCCUUCGGCCAGGAACAUGUUCAAAACUUCAUCAACUUUUCACCUGCCAAACUAAGGUAUAAAAAUGUUGUUAGCAAUAAUCAUAACUCGUAUAAACUAUCCCAACCGAAAAAGGCGAUAAUAAUAAGUGAUGUAACGAGUCAUUUCACGGUAUGAUAAACAGCAAACUCUAGAGGUAUGCACUAUCUUAAGUACAAGUAAAGAUCGUUGGUGUUGCAUCUAUCUAUCGACUGAUCCGACUAGAAUGCUUUUGUACCAUAUUUUUACAGUGAUUUGUGUGUAUUUAUAUAUAUAUAUAUGUAGGGUACAUUCUUGAAACAUUUGGAUAGUGCCAACUGUUUUUGUUCUGUCUUUUGACAAGGAAAUAUGAAAUUCCUAGUUAAAGAGAUGGAGACAAAGUGGUUUUGUCGUUUGCAGCUUUACUCAGCUUCACUCGUUAUCCAAUCACUCUUUUCCAUUUUUCUAGUUAUGUCGAAUAAUAAUAAUCUAUUAUCCAUUCGGAUAUUUUUUUCUAUGUGAUCAUAAUAUCAUAAUUUCAUUUUGCUAUAUAAGUUUACACCAACAAUGAAACUACCCGCAAUGCCCUCUUGAUGUAUCGGUUAACCAAAAGUUUUGGUUUACUAUAUCACUCGAUCGAAAUAUUUGGUUUACCAUUUCACUCGUUUUGACUCAAUUCUUUAUGGCUUCUAAUUCAAUGGAACUAUGAUCACCAACGUAACCCAUUUGUGUUAAAUUACUUCAAUAAGAGAUUGAUUAGUUUAGCUAAAAUGUAUCGCAGAGAAUAAGUUUGAAUCUACUGAUUUGAAUUAUAUUAUUCUGUUACAAAACAUUAAUUACUAGGUUAUUUACACUAAACGCUCCUUAUAUAUGUUUAAAGGACUUCAUUAGUACUUUCUUAUAUAUCUUCCCUCUCAUCUUUCCAUUUCUUCUUAGAAUUUUUUUUUAUAAAAUUGACUAAAAAUACAUCUUAAAAGGGUGACAUACAAACGAAAUAUUGAAAACUUACUCAGUUUUCUAGUCGAAAAUAUUAUUACUCCGCCCGAACUUUUUGGGAGAAACACUAUCUACAAUAGUGGAAUAAAUAGACUCAUAUGUAGGUAUGCAUACGAAUUUGGAACACACGUCUAGUUUUGGUGGGUUUGUUUAACUUGUUAAGACGUCAUUUCUACUCAAAAUAUCUCCCAAUUUUCAAAUCCAUUUCCAAAAUUUCUUGCAAAAUAUAACAUAUAUUGUGGUCUGUAAUGAAAAUGUCAGGUUUGAUGUUAGGCAAUUUUCGGUUGCCACAUGCCCACAUUUGUGGUGGUUCAUGCCAUGUGUUCUAACUUCCAAGGCUACUAGUCUACCUCGUAAAGUUGUCAACAAGUGUUAUAACUAAAUAUUUAAAUGUCAUGAGUUUAAAUUCUAACUUCGGCUAUUAUUCUUAUUUUUAUUUUGAGUUUGAUCAUAUAUGACCGCUUGACCGGCCUAUUGUAGUGACAGUUAGUUGUGUAACUUUGGUCCACUACUGUGUUGAGUUAUUUUACAUCGUAAAGUUGAAGAAGAUGAGUGCACUAUAUAAUUAAGUGUGAGGAAAAUUUUACUGUCUUGAGUUAGUUCUUACAGUAAGAAAGGUUUAAUUUUGUAAUAAUUGUGAAGUGACGUGAAGGGUGAUGUGACAUUCUUUUAAAAAUUGUUAGGGAUGUAGAUGUGCUUUCGAAAUUAAAAAGCGUUUCUGAUUUAGCAAGUUUGCUAACUUAGCAAGUCAAUUAGCAAUGCCACAUAGACAAAUUGUUACAAUUUUUAAAAAAUACAUUUAUGAAUAGAAAAUAAAUUGAAUAUAAAUAAUAUCUAGGCCUCGUUUGGUAUGUGAUAUCUCUUAUUCGAGAUAUCACGAUUUUGGGUGAGAUUGAUAUUAAAUCUAAAUAGUAUGAAUAUUUUUGUUUGGUGUAGGAUAUUGAGUGGUAGCUUUUAGGAAUAAUUAAAUGUGGUGUGAGUCUUAAUUUGUAAUAAUGAGGGCUGAGAAAAUUACGAUUAUAGCCCUCAGUUGCAUGUAGCUAUAAAAUUGUCUUGGGGGCAAUUAUCGAAAAGAUAUUGGAGGUGAUAUUGAAUAUCACCCCUAGGUGAAUAUUGAAUAUUACAAUAUUGCGAUAUUCAAUAUCAUCGAAUAGCUAGCUAUUCAUACUCCGAAACACGAAGAUAGCUAGCUGUUGGGUGAUAAUAUCAGCUAUACCAAACAUGCCCCUAAUGAUUUUAAUUGGUUCAUUUUUAUUGUGUUUGUUUGUGAAAAUGAUUAUUAGAAAUUAUUACUCAAUUGCUGGAAUAGAGGAAAUUAAGAAUUACGAAACUAAAGUUGAUGAUACGGCGAUAAAAUUAUAAUUAAAAAUUGUUAAUCAAUUUCUAAGAUGGAGAUCGAUCUUGAGCAACUGGGUCCACAAGUUAAAAUUGAUAUUGGAACGAAUUAAAAUGAUCCUAUAUGUAACAUUGCAACGUUCAAAUAACUUGACGUCGCGAUCCGUCAAAUAAAAUGACGCAAAUACAGCUGCCGCUACAUCGAGUGCUGACACUACUUGUGCGCAUCGCUGACAUAAUAAUGCGUACGAGCCGCGCAAGAGACGUCCAAUAAAGAUAACGCGAUUCAAAGAUUCGACCAAAAUCUCUACAGAAUUGAUUUUAAUAUCAUAAUGAGGUGUUUUACCAAAGUUACCAUUUUGAGUUACCAGAGUUAUAAACUAACUGCCUACAAAAAGGAGGUGUGGCUCUUUCAAUCCACCAAACUCCAUUAAUUCAAUUGGAGGAUAACUCACAACUCACAAAUCACAAUACCUUUCUUUUUCCACUAUGCUAGGUUUGGACCACCAAGUUCUCUACCUGAUUAGUAAUUACCUCUCUUUAAUCUUUAUCCAUUGAUUAUCCACAGUUUUCAUUUCAAUAUUUGUAGCAUCAUUAUGGUACUACCCAAUUAACCUAGUACGUGUUAUGGAUUCACAAUCGAAGGACGCAACGAUGUUGUUCCGCUAAAUGCAUACGACAUUGUGGAAUCCAUUCAUGUUCGAUUCAUGCAAAAAAAAAGAAUAAAAAGAUUUUUUGAACUUUUUAUUUUUUCAAUGAAGAUAAAGAGAACAUAUGAUUUUAUACUAGCCAUGUCAUUUUUUAUUAAAAAAAAAAANNNNNNNNNNNNNNNNNNNNNNNNNNNNNNNACAAAUUACUCUUUUACCCGUUAGAUUGGUUCGUAAAGAUUAUUCAAUAAAGAAACAUGAUAACCCUAGUUACAAUGAAUAUUAGUUGAUAUAUUUUUUUGAUGAAUAUUAGUUGAUAUAUUAUCUAUAAAGAUGUUGAGUUGAGAUCAGUGAAAGAAAAUUAUUAUUGUUACGUCUAACAAAGGGAUGAAUUGCAGUUAGGAGAGUUAGGAGAAAUUGUGGAAGAAAAGUUAAGUUAAUUUAAAGGAUAUAUAUUAUAUAAAAAUGUACAAUUUCUCUUAAAUAGCUUGAAAAACNNNNNNNNNNNNNNNNNNNNNNNNNNNNNNNNNNNNNNNNNNNNNNNNNNNNNNNNNNNNNNNNNNNNNNNNNNNNNNNNNNNNNNNNNNNNUAACAGUUUCAUAACGCAUUAUAGUGUCUCUCGUCUUCAAUUUUCUAGUUUUCCGUUUCAUAUUGAUAUGAAACUAUACAUCCCUCGUUUGCGUUACUAAUUUCACCUAUUACAUUCUUACAUUUGACAAAAUUGAUAAUACAUACACAGAAUACUCGUAACUAAUGACACAAGUAAUUAUCUAAAAAUAUUUUAUUAUAAAUACCCAUAACAUUAUUAAUUUAGUGCAUACACGUGUUCGUCUCUGAUAUUUUCAGUUGGAGUUUGUACAAACUCAAAAAGAGAGCCAUUGAACUUGUUCCUACUCGUUGCAUGGUCAGUAUAUGUCCACUUCUGCUUCCUAAGGUGCUCUUUUUGAGGAAAUACUAUGGAGCCAUAUAUACAUUCUUCGUUGACAUUGCUAAUUUCACGAAUUACAUUUUUACAUUUUAAAAGAUACCAAUUGCGUUCUUACAUUUGUCACAACUAACAAUGCAAACACAGAAUACUUAUAACUAAUAAAAUCAAUAAUUAUGUUGAUGACAUUCGAUUUGUACAUAUAUUUUAUCCUAAAUACUCAAAAUACGAUUAAUUAUGUAAUACACGUGUUCGUUUUUUGUGUCUUCAGUUGAAAUUUGUGCAGAUUGAUAUUGCAAGAUCGUUGUUUAUGAACUUGUUCUUAUUCGUUACAUGAGCAGUAUGUGUCCACUAUUGCUCCUUAAAGUGCUCUUUUUGAGGAAAUAUUGUGGUUCUAGACAUCCAUCUAGCUCUUACAAGUUAUUUGAGAUUCAAGUGAAAGGAUAAUAAUGAUAAAUUAGUGUGUUAUAAAACUAACGAUGACAUAACAAUUUCAUAAUACGAACGUAACGGUCUCAUAACACCAUAUAAUCUCUCUCACCUAACAAUUCACUAAUUUUCCGUUUCUUAUUAAUAUGAAACUAUACAUUGCUCGUUUACAUCACUAUUUUCGCCAAUUAUAUUCUUACACCGGACAAAACACCAACUACAUUCUUACAUUCAACAAAAGUGAUGAUACACCAAUAAUUAUCAUCACANNNNNNNNNNNNNNNNNNNNNNNNNNNNNNNNNNNNNNNNNNNNNNNNNNNNNNNNNNNNNNNNNNNNNNNNNNNNNNNNNNNNNNNNNNNNNNNNNNNNNNNNNNNNNNNNNNNNNNNNNNNNNNNNNNNNNNNNNNNNNNNNNNNNNNNNNNNNNNNNNNNNNNNNNNNNNNNNNNNNNNNNNNNNNNNNNNNNNNNNNNNNGAAAGUCAUGACUCAUAAAGAAAACAAAAGAAAAAUGAAACGGUUAAAAAAGGGAAAGUUACACACGGCCGCCACACAAACUCCACCUUCUCCUUUUCCAUCUUGGUUCAUUUUCCUUUCUUUCUUACCCUUUAAUGAUACCCCUUAUUAAUUAAACCCCCCAUAAUUAGCACAAAUCCAUCAUGUUUAAUUUCACACCACCGAAAAGAAAUAGAAUCAUUAAUUCAUCCAAUUAAUUGAUAUAGCAAAAAAAACCAAACCAAACCAAACACGAUUAUUAUCAUGUCUCAUCGGCAAAAAUCAGCCAAUACCAACAUAAAAUCAUUGCAUAAUCUAAAAAAUUUAAGUUACAUCAAUGUAAUACCAUUGACCAUUUACUCAUUUUGAAACCAUCAAUUUUCACUCAAAUUAAACACGGCAAAAAAUAAAUUAUACAAAAUACAUACUCAAGUAAUCAUUCGCCCGUUACUACAUCGUCGACUCGCAUUCCAUUCAAUACCUAAAACACGACUCCGCCACGCAAUCUCAUGUAACCAAACUCCCACCAUCAUUUACUCAUGACUCAUCACUUAUAUAUUUCACAUAAGAAAAGGAAAUAUCAUCACCUUCCCUUAUUUAUCCUCCUCCUAAUAGUAGUUUGGUAAAAACCUGGUUUUUUAAAAAACUUUUUUUUACCUUUUUCGGCUUUUGAGUAAUAAAUAUUUUUCUGGGUGGGCUGGCAUUUCCUUUUUGUUGAAGUUGCUUGAAAAAACGUUGGAGACUUUUCUUUUUCCCCUCUGAUUUAUUUAUUUAUAAAUUAUAAUAAUAUUUUGCCACCAUCAACAGCAACAGCAACAGUAGCAGUAUUAUUUUCUCUUCUCCUUCUUCUUCCACCAUCCAUCAAUUUUCAUCCCCUCCAUAAACUUCAAAGGUUCCUGCUUUUCCUCUCUCUUUCCCCCAAAAAAACCCCACCACCACUCCACCACCGCCAUAGCCACUACCUUUUUCUCUACACACUACCCAAUAUCCCCCCUUUCCCCUCUAUCUCUCUCUUUCUUGCUAUCUUCCUCCAUCUCUCUGUUGUUUAAUUUCAUAUCUGUUUACUUUUUCUUUCUUCAAUUUGUUGACGGCGGCUCAGAAACUGAAGAAGAAGAAGAAGAAGAAGAAGACUUUACUCACCAGGAAUUGCAGUUGACCUCACUUCUCUCUCCGGUAUGAUCCUGGUCUGUUUGUGUUGAUGGGCUUUGAUCAUCAUGGCAAAUUCUGAUUUGGGUUCUGUAGAUCCAUGGAUUCUGAUUAAGAUUUCAAUCAAAUUCAACCUGAGCCCUAUUUUUGUUGUUUUUGUCUGAACUCUGUUAUUUUUUUUCCUUGUUUGUAGAUCUAUGAAUAUUGGAUUUGUUCUCUGAAUAAUUGAAGUUUUUUUAAUUUUUUUCCUGGAUUGUGUUUGUUUCAAUUAGGUUAUCAAAUUAAAAAAAAAAUUACAAAGGGGAGGAAAGGAUGAUGAUGUUUGAAGACUUGGGGUUUUGUGGUGACAUGGAUUUCUUCUCCGGUCCAUCUCUCGUCGGCGGCGGAGAAGGAGGAGUCGGAGAUCUGGCGGCGGCUCAGCAGGAAGCGACGGGUCCGACGCUGAAUGACGCAGCGCGCGGCGGGGGAGUGAUGGAAGAGAUCGACGUGGAUGAACUGGAGAGGAGGAUGUGGAGGGACAAGAUGCGGUUGAAGAAGCUGAAAGAACAGACCAAGUCCAAGGAAGGAAUUGACGUGGCCAAGCAAAGGCAGUCGCAGGAGCAAGCCAGGAGGAAGAAGAUGUCCAGAGCUCAAGAUGGGAUCUUGAAAUACAUGCUGAAGAUGAUGGAGGUCUGUAAAGCUCAGGGCUUUGUCUAUGGGAUCAUCCCCGAAAAGGGAAAACCGGUCACCGGAGCAUCGGAUAACUUGAGGGAGUGGUGGAAGGAUAAGGUCAGGUUCGAUAGGAAUGGUCCUGCUGCUAUAGCCAAGUAUCAAGCUGAUAAUUCGGUCUCCGGGAGGAACGAUUCGGGGAAUUUGAUGGGGCCGACUCCUCACACAUUGCAGGAGCUUCAGGAUACGACGCUUGGUUCGUUGCUAUCGGCUUUGAUGCAGCAUUGCGAUCCUCCGCAGAGGAGGUUCCCGUUGGAAAAGGGGGUUUCGCCGCCUUGGUGGCCGAGUGGGAAUGAGGAAUGGUGGCCUCAAUUGGGGUUACCUAAGGAGCAAGGCGCCCCACCGCCUUACAAGAAGCCUCAUGACUUGAAGAAGGCUUGGAAAGUUGGUGUCUUGACUGCUGUGAUCAAGCACAUGUCCCCCGACAUUGCAAAGAUUCGGAAACUCGUUAGGCAGUCGAAAUGCUUGCAGGAUAAGAUGACUGCCAAGGAGAGUGCUACUUGGCUUGCUAUCAUCAAUCAGGAGGAGAAGCUGGCUCGAGAGCUUUACCCCGAUUUCUGCCCGCCCUUGCUGUCGAGUGGUGUCGGGGGAGGGAGUGGCUCUUUGGUGAUUAGUGACUGUAAUGAAUAUGAUGUCGAUGGAGGGGAGGAUGAAACUCCAAGUUUCGAUGUCCAUGAGUGUAAGCCCUUUCAGCUGCCUUUCCCGGUUAAGGGCGAGGAUGUUGAUUUCAUUCAGAAGAGGAAGAAUCCAUCUUCUGAUAUAAGCAUGAUGAUGGAGCAACCGAAAGUCUACACCUGUGAGUUCCUGCAGUGUCCUUACAGCCAGAGCCGGUUAGGGUUUCACGACAGGAUGUCGAGGGACAAUCAUCAGCUCGCUUGCCCCUUCAGAAGCAAUUCGUUGGAGUUUGCUGUGUCGAACUUCCAUGUCAAUGAAGUGAAGCCUUUGAUCUUCCCUCAAUCGAAAUCGCUUGCUACUGCAGUUGCUGCUCCUCCGGCCUCAGCGCCUAUGACAUUCGAUCUGACUGGUGUUCCGGAAGAUGGUCAGAAGAUGAUAAGUGAUCUCAUGUCUGUCUAUGACACUACCGUCGUCCAGACCACUGGUACCAGAACUGCUAGCUCAGCCAACAACAACAACAGCAGCAGCAACCUUAUGGGUGGUCAUCAUCACAAUCUGUUCGGGCCGAAAAUCCAGCAUCAACCGGAGAACAACUUCUACCGCGGUCAAAGCAGCGUGAUCGAAGGGAGCAUCUUCGGAGACUCCAACAACUUCCAGAACAGUAUCAGCAACAACAACCAUCAUCAGCAAGUCAUGUUCCCUCAGGAAAGUACCCAAUUUGACAGGUUCAAGCCACUCAGCUCUCCAUUCGAGAGCAACCCGAAUAGCAACAUCAGCAACAACAACAACAACAACAACAACAACAACAAUAGCAGCAACAACAACAGCUUCAACUUGAUGUUCGCGUCCCCCUUUGAGAUGGAUCUUCAAGGAAUCGGAGUUGAUCCACUGCCAAGGCAACCAGAUGUUUCGACGAUGUGGUUCCAGUAAAACAUCAGCAUCAUCAUCAGGGGAUGGAUAAGUACAUGUUGGAGUCUUUUAAAAGUUUUACUAUAUAGUUAUGGUGUAGUGAAACUUGGGUCAUCAGUUGUUUUUGUUUCAUGUUAUUUUCAUCUUUAUUUAGGCCUAGAAAACUUAGGGUUUGGGCAGCAAAAGCAAGCAAAUUUGCAGAAUGCCAAGGGGUGGAAAAAAGGAUGAGACUUGGGGAGGAAGAAAUAAAGGUCAAGGUGGUAAAUUCCCCCCAGUUGAAUUUUUACAAUUUUUACCUCUUGUGGCAAGGCUUGGUUGACAAGUAUCAUUAUAUAUUAUAUUAUUAUAUGAAGUAAUGAAGAACAAACAGUAUAAUGUCCUCAGUGUCAAAUAAAUAAGCUUUUGUAGCAUUGUAAUUUUCUUUUCAUGUUGCAGAGUGCUGCUGCUGGUUUACUUAUGUCUAUGGAGUUAUGUUUUUUUGUGUGUAGCUCAAGUGGACAAAAAUGGCUUGCAUCACUUUGGAAAAAUUGUGAUUUUAUGAUUGAAUUUUGUGUUGUAAUGAAAUGCCCAUCUCCAUGUUGCCUUAUUCUUUGGGAUGCUUGUCUUGUUCUGCAAAUUGCUUACCACUUUGUCGUAACUUACCAGUACACUCCAUGUGAGCUUCUUUCUCAUAUACUUUUGGACCAUUGAUCUUUAACGUAUUGUGAUGGACAAAUACCAAUUAAAAUAUUGGUAUAUGCUACGAAGUGAAUUCAAUGACCACGACUACAAGUCAUGGAACUUAUUAUUGCGGGUACUAGAUCAAGGAUGGGGUGAGUCGAGGUACGGAACAUUUCGAAGUUUACAUAACUUGUGAGAGCGGGAUGGAUGGGUGAUAAUGUCUAAAUGCACAAUAUUCCUUCAAAAAGAGCGCAGUAAGAAGCGGAAGUGGACACGUACCACCCAUGCAGAGAAAACAAGUUCAUGAAUAUCUCUUUCAAUGUUAGUUUGUAUAGAUUGUAAUUGGAGAAAUCAGAGGCGACAAGUAUAUGUACUAAAUUAAUUGUAUUUUGAGUAGAUAUGGUAAAAUAUUUUGUAGAUUAUUAUUGAUGUUAUUAGUCACGAGUAUUCUGUGUUUGUAUGGGUAGGUUUGUCAAAUGUUAACACAUACCGUCUGUGCAACGAGUAAGAACAAGUUCAUGAACAUCACUUUCAAUGACAGUUUGUACAAAUUUCAAAUGGAGAAAUUAGAGGCGAGGACGUGUAUGUAUCAAAUUAAUUUUAUUUUAAGUAUUUAUGGUAAAAUAUUUGUAGAUAAUUAUUGAUGUUAUCAGUUACGAGUAUUAUGUGUUUUCAUAAUUAGGGUUGUCAAAUAGAAAAGUGUAAAUUUGUUUUUGUCAAAUGUAAGAAUGUAAACAUUUUAGCAAACAUUAUGAAGAUAGAAAAUAAGUUAUCAAUUUUGAGGGACAAUUGUACCAAAUAGAUUUUAGAAAAAUACAAAAAAAAGU